GCAAGUCGAGCGAACAGAUAAGGAGCUUGCUCCUUUGACGUUAGCGGCGGACGGGUGAGUAACACGUGGGUAACCUACCUAUAAGACUGGGAUAACUUCGGGAAACCGGAGCUAAUACCGGAUAACAUUUGGAACCGCAUGGUUCUAAAGUGAAAGAUGGUUUUGCUAUCACUUAUAGAUGGACCCGCGCCGUAUUAGCUAGUUGGUAAGGUAACGGCUUACCAAGGCGACGAUACGUAGCCGACCUGAGAGGGUGAUCGGCCACACUGGAACUGAGACACGGUCCAGACUCCUACGGGAGGCAGCAGUAGGGAAUCUUCCGCAAUGGGCGAAAGCCUGACGGAGCAACGCCGCGUGAGUGAUGAAGGGUUUCGGCUCGUAAAACUCUGUUAUUAGGGAAGAACAAACGUGUAAGUAACUGUGCACGUCUUGACGGUACCUAAUCAGAAAGCCACGGCUAACUACGUGCCAGCAGCCGCGGUAAUACGUAGGUGGCAAGCGUUAUCCGGAAUUAUUGGGCGUAAAGCGCGCGUAGGCGGUUUCUUAAGUCUGAUGUGAAAGCCCACGGCUCAACCGUGGAGGGUCAUUGGAAACUGGGAAACUUGAGUGCAGAAGAGGAAAGUGGAAUUCCAUGUGUAGCGGUGAAAUGCGCAGAGAUAUGGAGGAACACCAGUGGCGAAGGCGACUUUCUGGUCUGUAACUGACGCUGAUGUGCGAAAGCGUGGGGAUCAAACAGGAUUAGAUACCCUGGUAGUCCACGCCGUAAACGAUGAGUGCUAAGUGUUAGGGGGUUCCGCCCCUUAGUGCUGCAGCUAACGCAUUAAGCACUCCGCCUGGGGAGUACGACCGCAGGUGAAACUCAAAGAAUGACGGGGACCGCACACCGGUGGGAGCAUGUGGUUAAUUCGAGCA
This 912-nucleotide ribosomal RNA is filed under the name Staphylococcus saprophyticus. Its description in RNAcentral is "bacterial SSU rRNA". It matches the Rfam family "Bacterial small subunit ribosomal RNA", at positions 57 to 957 of the family's 1533-position model. The record is from RNAcentral. Lineage: Bacteria; Bacillati; Bacillota; Bacilli; Caryophanales; Staphylococcaceae.